GUCCACACCGUAACGUUGGGCGCUAGGUGUGGGAUCCAUUCCACGGGUUCCGUGCCGCAGCUAACGCAUUAAGCGCCCCGCCUGGGGAGUACGGCCGCAAGGCUAAACUCAAAGGAAUUGACGGGGGCCCGCACAAGCGGCGGAGCAUGCGGAUUAAUUCGAUGCAACGCGAAGAACCUUACCUGGGUUUGACAUAUGCCGGAAAGCUCCAGAGAUGGAGCCCCUUUGUCGGUAUACAGGUGGUGCAUGGCUGUCGU
This 257-nucleotide ribosomal RNA is filed under the name uncultured bacterium. Its description in RNAcentral is "partial 16S ribosomal RNA". It matches the Rfam family "Bacterial small subunit ribosomal RNA", at positions 793 to 1055 of the family's 1533-position model. The record is from RNAcentral.